UGAUCUGCGAGGCCACAGUCGAUCCGUGUUGUGUGCAGCCCACUGCCUAUUCAACUCCCCCUCCUGCAGCUUCUGCUGUUAACUGUUUGUUUACUGCCAUUCCUAUAGCCAGGGCCCAGGGUGGGAGCACAGGAACUGAUACUGUAUGUGGUGGGAGUCAUCAGCCCUAGGGAUUGUGUCAGUGCACCUGAUUUAUUUAUGUAACACACCAGACCCCCGCAUGUUCUGCAUACACACACAGUAAUUAAAGGGCUGCUGUAGCUGGGCCUGGCACUGCAGGGUUAACUUCCCCCUUCAUCUGCUUCAGACAGUGUGCUGGGAGAUGAGGAUCUGAAGAUGGAAGACGAUCUGAUUGGAUAGUAUGGGGGCAGGUGGAAGGUGUACUGUGCCUUGCUGAACACUGUCUGCAAGUGCAGCAGGAAAAGUCCCAUCCAGGAAGAGAUGUCCAGGGACAAGCGGCCCCGAUCCCCCCUUCCCCCCACCCCUCAGAAGAACUUUCCCUGCAUAGCAAUGAGGAGUGGGAGCCGACCCAGGAGGAGGAUACGACCGACCAGGCAUGCAGUGACCAGCCGCGGUCGUCAAGGGACCAAAUGGAGAAGUCAAAGAAAAAGACAAAGCCUAGAAAGGCAAGAAGCCAGCCAGAGGAGCAGUCGGAGGAGGAAGCCUCUGGUGAAGACGCAGGACCGAAGAAGCCACGUGGACCCAGAUACACUGAGGCAGAAAACUGUGCCCUAGUGGAUGGCAUCGACAGGUCCUACGACAUUCUGUAUGGACCAAGGGCACAGACCACAGCAGCUAAGACCAAGCAAAACAUCUGGGAUGCCAUCGCGAGACAAGUCACUGCAGUAUCUGGAAACCGCCGGAGCAUCAGAAACUGCAUGAAGCGGUACAGUGAUUGCCGCAGACAGACCAAGAAGAAGAUGGGGAUUCAGCGCCGACAUGAGACAGCUACGGGAGGUGGUCCGGCUCUCAAUCUGAAGUGGCUACCCUGGGUGGAAGUUAUCAAAAGGCGCAUGAACCCUGCCAUGGUCCAAGGAGUUCGCGGAGGUGUGGACUCUAGCCGUCUGCUGGCUUUCCCGAGGAAGAAGAACCGCCCAGAAGACGGAAGACAGCGGGAGACAAGCAGUCCAAAAGGAGGCCUGAUGACACGCCUGCCCAGAGGACAUCACCUGCGCGCAGGAGAUAGGCAGCAGCGCGCGGACCAUCACCUGUGCAGCAAUCAUCACCUGCACGCCACACAUCGUCAGCGCGCAGAAAGUCACCUGCGCGCCAGACAUCGUCAGCACGCAGACCAUCACCUGCGCGCCAGACAUCAGCGCACAGAACAUCACGUCGGCGACCACACCACCAGCUGGGCGCCAAACUACAUCUCCUGCGCGUAGGCCAUCACCAGCUCGUCAUCUCUCCAGGAGCUCUGGGACUGUGACCAAAGAGCCUCAACAAGACACUACCCUUGUGGACCCAUCACCCGAACUGUUUGAGUCUACAGGGUUAACGGACAAAACUUUUCUUGGGUUUGAAGACAGCCGUGCAGAAGUAUCCAGCCAGACCCUUGAAAAGUCUCCAGAAUUGAGGACAAGUGAAGCUCCUGGAGCAGCGGCACCACCGGAUGGAGAAGGAUUUUAUUUUUUUUAUUUUUUGGGGGGGGGCGCCAUUUUGUAUAGUUUAUUAAGUUUAAUUUUUUGUUUUCUUUUGCAAACAGAGGUGCCACGGACCAGCAGCGGACUUGCAUCGGGGAUUGGUCCCUGCUUCAGGCCGGAUCUCCUACAGGAUUCGUCGGACGACGAGGUGGAAGUGCAGCAGCCUGCUGUUUCUACAUCCAUGUCUGCACAAAUGCAAUUGGUGGCAGACGUACAGGAAGGGCAGGAUCCCUCAAAUCUUCAGAGGGUACACACCCUGGCAGCCGAGAUGACUUCCCUCCAGGAUACUUACACGAAUGUCGUUGGAACCAGACUGGACGCCAUUGAGAAGACAAUGGAGAAGAUGGCAAACGGUCUGGUUGAAAUGCAAAAGGCUCAUGCCGACAGCACGGCCGAAAUGCAAAAGACCAGACGAGAAGAUCACAGGGAGACUAUGGACAUCCUUCACAUUCUGGCCACAUCCAUCAACCGGCUGGUGGAGAACACAUCAUGCCUGGCACACAGCGUUGACAACAUGUCAAAGAGCCAACGACAUUCGGCAUCCAGCCAACAGAUCAUCGCAACCACACUGCAGAUGAUGUAUGAUAAGCUCCCAGAGCCAGCUCAUCAACACUCUGGUGAACCACCACUUCCGCCAUCACAAGCCACACGGACGCCUCCUUCCCUUCCUCCACCACCAUCCUGGUAUGGACGGUCACAGCUGUACCAAGGAUAUACAGGAAUGUACCACACCCACCAGUUGCCUCCACCACCAACACCGGCCGCAUCAUCUACACCCGCACGGCCACCGAUGCCAAGUCAACGCACUCCACAGCAGCCCAGGGCAUUGACGCCCCAUCAGGAGGAAGAAGAGGAUCCAGACGGACAACCACCAUAAGCCCGGUCGUAUUGUUUUAUUAUUUACUCUUAUGUUUUUCAUGUUUCCCUUUCUCCCCCUCCCAUUAGUUUUUAUUUUUCUUAAUAAUAUGUUUGUGUUGGGCUCCCCCACUCUCGACCGGAUACUACCAAGGAGCUUUAUGUCUGGGCAUACAUGCGCAGGCAUGUAUGCGGGCGCGUGUGGUAACGGAUGAAAGCUCCUUGUGGCUACAUGUAUGAUGGGCCAAAGAGCUAUUCUGAUACCACUUUUUUUUUUACCAAAAAAACUCCUUUUUGUAUUGGUGUACAAUAGGCUUUCACUGUUGUGUGAUUUUACUAUUCACUAGUGUUUAUUUUUGGCUUAUUCAUAGGAUUGGGUGGAAAAUUGAAGUGGACGGCGUAGUUCGUGUUGUGCGUACCAAGAUAUCUACACAAGAAAAGAAUGUAAAGAAGAACAAACA
Pseudophryne corroboree (corroboree frog) is the source of this 2956-nucleotide RNA transcript. It is a transcript of the gene named myb-related transcription factor, partner of profilin-like, with no coding region annotated. The record is from RefSeq and is a predicted model, not a curated record. The transcript is spliced from 6 exons. Lineage: Eukaryota; Metazoa; Chordata; Amphibia; Anura; Myobatrachidae.